GUAGGUGGCAAGCGUUGUCCGGAAUUAUUGGGCGUAAAGCGCGCGCAGGCGGUUCUUUAAGUCUGAUGUGAAAGCCCACGGCUCAACCGUGGAGGGUCAUUGGAAACUGGAGAACUCGAGUACAGAAGAGGAAAGCGGAAUUCCACGUGUAGCGGUGAAAUGCGUAGAGAUGUGGAGGAACACCAGUGGCGAAGGCGGCUUUCUGGUCUGUAACUGACGCUGAGGCGCGAAAGCGUGGGGAGCAAACAGGGAUUAGAUACCCUGGUAGUCCACGCCGUAAACGAUGAGUGCUAAGUGUUAGGGGGUUUCCGCCCCCUUAGUGCUGCAGCUAACGCAUUAAGCACUCCGCCUGGGGAGUACGGCCGCAAGGCUG
This 373-nucleotide ribosomal RNA is filed under the name uncultured organism. RNAcentral's name for it is "partial 16S ribosomal RNA". It matches the Rfam family "Bacterial small subunit ribosomal RNA", at positions 527 to 896 of the family's 1533-position model. The record is from RNAcentral.